CUCCAGCUGACGAGUCUCAGACAGGACGAAACGUGCGUCUUAGAU
Molecule: non-coding RNA, 45 nt
Organism: Schistosoma mansoni
Lineage: Eukaryota; Metazoa; Platyhelminthes; Trematoda; Strigeidida; Schistosomatidae
Source: Rfam